This 469-nucleotide ribosomal RNA is filed under the name uncultured bacterium. Its description in RNAcentral is "bacterial SSU rRNA". It matches the Rfam family "Bacterial small subunit ribosomal RNA", at positions 329 to 796 of the family's 1533-position model. The record is from RNAcentral.
GAGUGGACUCCUACGGGAGGCAGCAGUGAGGAAUAUUGGUCAAUGGACGAAAGUCUGAACCAGCCAAGUAGCGUGCAGGAUGACGGCCCUCCGGGUUGUAAACUGCUUUUAGUUGGGAAUAAAAAAAGGGACGUGUCCCUUAUUGUAUGUACCUUCAGAAAAAGGACCGGCUAAUUCCGUGCCAGCAGCCGCGGUAAUACGGAAGGUCCAGGCGUUAUCCGGAUUUAUUGGGUUUAAAGGGAGCGUAGGCGGAUUGUUAAGUCAGCGGUUAAAGGGUGUGGCUCAACCAUACAUUGCCGUUGAAACUGGCGAUCUUGAGUGCAGACAGGGAUGCCGGAAUUCGUGGUGUAGCGGUGAAAUGCUUAGAUAUCACGAAGAACUCCGAUCGCGAAGGCAGGUGUCCGGGCUGCAACUGACGCUGAGGCUCGAAAGUGUGGGUAUCAAACAGGAUUAGAAACCCUUGUAGUCC